RNAcentral lists this long non-coding RNA (1961 nucleotides) under Mus pahari (shrew mouse). RNAcentral's name for it is "lncRNA (MGP_PahariEiJ_G0005338.1)". The record is from RNAcentral. Lineage: Eukaryota; Metazoa; Chordata; Mammalia; Rodentia; Muridae.
AGGAGGUGAUAAGAGGGCCAAAGAAAGGAGAGAGGGGGAGGUGGAAAAGGCCUGAAGUAGAGCCAGCCACAAGUUGGCCCCGGUCACUUCCAUCUAUCCCUUUCAAGCCCCACAUCCCAGUUGAGCGCCUAAUUGCUCCCUAAAGUCUGUAGCCCUCCAGGGUACAGCUGACACAGCGCGACUUAAAUCAAUUAGUCGGAGGCUGGAGGAGAUAAAGACCCCAGCCAGACCCAAGGACUGUAACCAGAGCCUUUAGGGUAGAUCAGCUGUGUUCCGAGGCUUACCGGGUAUCUAAAGUAGGGACGACCAACCUAGCAAAGUGCUCUGCUCCCCGCCCCCCUUCUCAAUAGGGGUGAGUAGUUCAGCCUUCCCAGCAGAAAGCCAGCUCAUCCGCGGACUUGAUGCCAGGCCCUCUGCACCAGCGGGAGCCACGGGACCAUUGUGGUGCCUUGCUAUACCAGACUGCUGUCUCUGGCAGUGAUAAAGGCAGACAGCUGGCACGGGAGGGAGCCUAAAAUAACUCAGACAGCUGGGCAAGGGGGGUGUCACGGGCCCAGGCUCUGGGCUGAAAAUCAAGACACCUGGAACCCUGUCCAGGCUCUGCCCCGUGGUGGCCUCAUAACCUUGGGUGAGAGACAUUUUCUUCUCUUGGGGCUAUUGGUGGGUGGCCCUUAAAUCCCGACCCAACCACAGGGACAGCCCACGGAGCCCGGGGAACAGCCUGGACUCAAACGCUUAGAAGAAAAACAGGGCUGGCUGCCUUCCCAAGCAAAGCUAGUUUUCUUUCUCCUUUGCCUGGAGGCUGCAGCACGUGCUUCAGGAAGUGGGCUGGCGGGGAGGAGCCCUGGCUGGAGCCAGCCCAGCCCCCACCCGCGCAGGCAGCAACCACUCCCAGCAACAAUCCUUAUCACAAUGGAGGCCAACUGGUUGUGAGGUCAGAGCCGGAGUCUGGCCCCCUUAAUCUCACUUAAUCCUCCCACCAACCUUUUCCAGCAGGUACUGUGGUCUUUUUAACCGGGGGAGGGGGGGAGAGAGGCACUGGUCCAAGGUCACUAGCUCGGUUCACAUUUAACCUACAGCUGCCAGACUUGGAAACAUCCCUGAUUAGGCACCAACCUGCCUCCAGCAACAACGGAGGGAAGCCUUCCAGGCUCCCCAACUCACACGUCAGCACUCACUGUAGGGGCGAGGAGAAAAGAGAAGACAAGAGGCUGGAAGCUGAGGCCCAAAUGGGGGAAGCCAGCAGGGGCGGCGGCACCUGCGGCCAAAUGGCUUAUCAAAGUAACAUAACCAGAAACACUCUAGGGGGGCCAGGGGGUCAGGGAUCAAGGGCCACACCAGUUUCAGCAGCAAAGCUUCCUGCCUAGGAGGAGGGCAAGCCAACUGCUAGCCACCAAGCUGGGGACAUCCCAGGUGUCAACCUACUAGGGAGAGUCUAGAAACCCGGCGGUACCUGGAACCUUGUUAAGAAGAGCAAGUUCUUAGAUGUAACUGCCUAAGAGGGAAAACUCGAGAAACGGGCACAGUCGGCUUUACUGGGUCCCACCACUGACUUCUGAUGCCGGUGCAGCUGGGGAGGCCCUGCUCAGAGACGACACACAGACCUCGUUGACUGUGUAAGAUCACUACAGACAGGGAAAGGGCCAGCCCUCCGUUCAUGUCACAUUCUAGAAGCCAGGCUACGGUCGCCUGGCCUUGUUGAGAGCUCGGAUCCAGGAAAAGGAGAAGCCAAGGAAAUCUUUGCUCUCUCGGGAAGCUGGCUACCACACUUCAGAUCGUUUGCUGCUUCGCCUAUCCAGCAAGGCAGACAUCAGAAGCGGGGCUCAGCUGGUCCCCCCCCCACACACAAUGGGGUUCAGGGAGAAUGUCUGAAGCACUACUGGCAAACCUGACAGCAGUCCCGGUCUUCAGAAGUUUCCGGGGCCCUCCCAAGCCACCAUAAACCACACCACUGGGAAAUA